Molecule: non-coding RNA, 3685 nt
Organism: Varroa destructor (honeybee mite)
Lineage: Eukaryota; Metazoa; Arthropoda; Arachnida; Mesostigmata; Varroidae
Source: RefSeq, a predicted model, not a curated record
CUCAUUACCACGAAAUGAAGUGGCAUCAAAGACAAGUGCGUGUAUUUAUAUGGGCACCUUCAAUAGUAAUAUGGAUCGAAAUGUCCCGUUGCUCUCCUAUUAUACGUUGUGUUCAACAGCUUAGUCAUCCAUGCAAUACAAGUUAUUAUUGCCCAUUAGUGUGUAGCAGUUAUGAAUUUCUAAACCAAAGCGAUACAUGAAGAAAACGCUUGCGUACGAAAAAUAUCGUCGAGACAAAAUCAGCAGCAGUAGACAGGACCUACUCCAACGGCGGCACAUGGCGAACAGAGAAGGACCCCGCAACCCACUUCUACGCAUCGAAUUCUGCCGAAGAACGGGAACGAGCAGGACCAUGUCUGGGCACGAACGUCGCCGCAGGGACAUCUUCGAGCGACACACUUAUAUUCAUCAAGGUAACGGAACAGAAACCAUAUCAAAGCACAAUAAUGCGGGGCCGCCCGCACCGGGUAGCCCCUUGGUGAAGGCGCAUCAGCUGGAGGGAGCAGUCGUCUCGGGGGAGCGUCAUUUGCGCAGAGAGUGAAGUUGUGAAAUAGUUCGACCCGAACCUGUCACGAAUCGAGCGCCGCGAUUUCGAUUGGGUGGCGAUUUUUGGGUUGUUAUUUCGUGCCGCCACCAAGUGAUACAAACAAUAAUAGAAGAGCCUGAUACAUUGCUGGUAUCGGCAUGGAAAAGAUUUUGACAAUAGCAAUUAUUAUUAUUAGUUGAGAAACUAAAAAGCUUGACUUGUACAUCUAUAGUAGCGAUCUGUAUAAAUACGCAACCAGUCGAAGGGCAGAGAGGAACUUUUUAACCAAAUCCUAUCCUCAAAAAAGACUAAAGAAAACAAUAUUAGAAGCGUCUUGUGCGAUUAGAGGUUAAAACUCAACUGCCCAAGACCGAUGCCUGACUGUUACUGUCUAUAUCUAAUAAUGAACUAUUUGUCUGCCCCACGUUCAACAUACUUGUUUAGUAGCUCUUGUGUUUCUUUUUAUAAACGUAAAAAUGCUAUAGGACCGAAGCCUCUUCUCACAUUACGCAAGAGACCCUUUUCGACAAACUUCUCAACCUACCGAUCUAUAAUACUUUCCUAAUAAUGCUCGCUGAGAACUGAAUAGAUAUGGGGAACUCAUCGAUUUUGAACUCGGCAAAAUUACUCUCUAUUAGUACUAAUUGUUCCCAACAAGCGACAGAACUUAUGACCCUGACUACCCAGAACACGAUCAUCUGGAAAGAUUAUGGCAGACUUUCCAGCUGAUAAAAGGCUCCCUUCGCUAUAAAGGACCACCCCUGAGAGGCUGCCAUAAUGGACCAGUAAUCUGCUUAAGCCAUCUUGCCAAAUCCUUUCGGCACGUAUUAUGUGACAUUACAAUUCCAGUCCGCAUGGAGUAGACUUCUUUUAUUUACAGCUAUAUAAUAAGUUGCCCAAAAGAAAUAUCCCGAUCCCCGUAAGAGCUUUCAACUUUUAAAGGCAAACAAAGAAACUCACCCAAGCCCUGUAUGCAUUCAAAUAUACCAUCGAUAGGUUGAUUGACAAAGAAAUAAUUCACAACUGAUCGAUAUAUGAACCACUUAUAAACACACACAAUAAAUAAAUAUACAGCGUACUUGAAAAGUUAAUUUCGUGACCGAAAUAUUCCAUGGCGGGAAGUUCAAUUUCGACGACUCUCGUUAGGCUUAACGCCGGCAGGUUGAAUAUUAUCACUCGGACGCCGUACGAACAACUAACCACUCUGAUCGACUACUCGAUCUAUGUAAAGACCACAUGACAAUAAAGAUGGUCAAUAAAAUUUUCACUAGUUGGAUCCUAAUUUAGCUUCAUCAACUGAUUCAGACGGGUGAAUCGAGCCUGGUCUAUUAGUCUCAUUCAAGUGUCGUUCAGUAUUAGCGUUCAUCGAUACAAUCGUCUGCGAUUAACAACUAUCCAACGACUCUCAGCUAUCUCCAUAGAGGCCAUGACUUGAAACUAACCCUUACUGGCGGAUUCUUCCAUCAGUAGUGGAUUGCGUCGUAUCUGAGUGUAGUUACGCGACUGAUCGAUGAUGAACGACCAAAAUUUCUGAUGAAACCACACAAGACUGACGCUUACUACAAUCACGCUACCCGAUCGUAUCGGCAAUUCAGAGGAGGGAUAAAGUUACAAUGAGAUCCCUCAUAACGAUACAGGAUGCCUGCUAAGACGUCCUAUAAUUAGCUUUGUGCACAACGAAAGGACAUCUAUACAUACUAGUAGACUAGAGCAUUGCUCGACCUUUACUGGAAGAACUAUAUCAGGCAUUAUUGUAAACCCGCUAUUAAUUGACCGUAUAUCUGACCCUGGACCUAGUAAUAGAAACAUGUUUUGCAGGAACAUGUUGUAAGGAAGUGGACACAGAUGCAAUGUAGAUUGAAAGCUGAAGUGGAAAACGAAGCAGUGUGAAGGAAACUGCCAGAAAUCACAUAUAUACUGUAUGUCAGAGAAAAUUAAGUGCACAGGAGCUCGAACGAGCCGCACCUACGUGUUUCACAUUAUUUUCAAUAUUAUUAUUUGCUGGCCAACAGUUUCACUAGUUUAUUGAUUAUUUAUUUAGCCAUGUAGUACAUAUCCAUGGACGGCUCACCCCGGGGUUCUUCUACCGGAGAUAUACCUGUUUUUAUUAACCUGAAUUGUUUGAUUCGGUUUUCCUGUAUGAAUACAAAAGCCGACAAAGAGGCCCUUCGACGCGAUUUAAAACGUACCGUGCGCUAUAUUUAUAAAGGAAAAACAUACACAUAAUACGAUUUCCAUACCUAAGCGACCUAGUAAUGUCGUUGACCUUUUUACAGGCCGCCAGACUCAGCGAAGAAUAAUAAUCGACUAGAAUCAUUUUGUCGCGAUCGAGUGCGCUGAGUAAUGUCGUUGAUGACAGAAUCGAGAGCAGCUAUAGAGCCGUAUCCGCCGUGUCCACACAUGUACAAGGAAAGACGGCAAGCAUCUAUCGGAUACGUCUUUCGACUCAUGGCGUCGAUUUCGCUGAGUUAUCGUUCUAUGCCGAAGUAGCAGAUCUCGCUCUUCAGGCACUCACUCCAAGCUAUGAAUGAAGCUGCCCUGCGCUUCAUGUUCCCCGUUCAGAUACGAGUAUAUCUAAGGAAUAUCACUCAACGCCAAUAAACAGGCUUUUCAACGAUUCAAUUGAUGAUGAUCCUAAUUCCCCGCUCUUUAGGCCGUCUUAACCAGACCUAAGCAUCUUUUUGCGUUUUAUGGUAGCAAGGUCGUUAGCAAGCUAGCUUGUCAGCAAGGCCUCCUCUAACGACUAUCUUUCUUGGAACCCUUUCCCGCUAUGGCAUGUUCAACAGAGGUAUCUGUGCAUACCUAUAAAAGAAAUGUAAACCCGACCAGUACUGUAUAUCAACGUGAUCUUGAGGGCAACAAAAGUUAUGUAAGUUCUAUUUGCUUGUAUCCAUAAGCUAAAUAAAAGUUUCACGAAGAACACAGAUAUGUUUUCCCCGAGUGGUUUAUUUUUAAUUCUAACCAUUCCCUUAUAUUGUAUUGCAAUAUUGACUUUAUAACAGCAUCAAAUUAAGGGCCUUUCGACGAUUCUUGAUAUAUAUUACGCGUCGCUUAGGAUUUCGACCGAUAUUUAGAAACAGCAAAAAAAAAGCCAUCUAAAAGUUUCUGCGGUCUGUGUUUCGCGAUUUGUCGGGUCUGUUCUCGAGCUUCGUAGGGGGG